RNAcentral lists this long non-coding RNA (1366 nucleotides) under Rattus norvegicus (Norway rat). Its description in RNAcentral is "long non-coding RNA NONRATT027679". The record is from RNAcentral. Lineage: Eukaryota; Metazoa; Chordata; Mammalia; Rodentia; Muridae.
GAAAGCUCUAGAUGGUUUUCCUAGGGUGAGCCUAGAGUUCAACCCCACUGCCCUUGAUAACGGCUGGGUAAGCAUCACAUUGAAGACCACAGCUAGUGAAGGCGAGUGCUAAUGUCCUUUUCUAACUGCACCCCUAGUCUCAGGUUCAUAUUUGGGCCUCUCCCUUCGCUAGGCCUUACCUGUCCUGUCUUCUCUGUCCUCUGUCCUUUUUAUCUGGAAAAAGCAGUUAACAAAUGCGACACUAAUGCACAGUAAUGGAGCCUACUUGUCUCCUAUAAGGUUCAUUCUUUCCACUUAACACAUCUCUAGAAAAAAACAAAAAUGUUAUCGUCUGUGGAUUUAUGAAUUAGGAAAAGAAGGUUUGAGUAGGCAGACUCCACUUCACCCCAGGCUCGGCCCUGCUUUCCUCUUCAGGAUCCGUGAUGAGCAGGACCUUUGGGGUAAAAUGUGUGCCAUCUUCCCUUCUCAAGGCUCAGCCUGGAGCCGGCUUGGCUUGCCUGUCAGACACACUUAGCUUUCCUCUGGAGCCGAGUCCAGGGAGACCUCAUUUCCUUGUCUUGUUACAGGCUGCAGACAGCCCCUUUGCAGCUGCUGCUAGCUGUCCCAGGCUUGAGAGCAAAGGUUAAUCCCACUGAGAGAAGUGACCUGAAGCGUGUUCACUCAACCACUAAGAAGACACCAAGUACCACUCAGGAGCUCGUGGUACCUCUUUCUUGUUUAUAAACUGCGUGUCUCUUAAGUUUCCCUGGAAUCUUCUGUAGGGUGUUCCCAUUCUCUCCAGAGAAAUACUUGUGAAGAUACAUAGUGUGUCUGAGUGUGUCAUUUGGGAGAGAAUCUUAGAAACUUUGCUGAUGCUGCCUACUCACAUUUUCUUGGGCAACUUCAUAGUUUGUGAUGACUGGGUGUUCAACAGUGAGUGUUUGUGUGUGUGCACGCGCGCGCGGGCGGGUAUACAGUAAUGGAGAUUAAAUUCAUUGCCACACCUUUGCUUCAGUUUUAUCCUUCCGAGGGCUUAAGCUGUCCUGUCUAUAUAGCCAUCAUGGAGAAUCACCUGUUUCCAGCAGAGGGCGCCCCACUCUCACUAAAAAUCACAGAGUUCAUUUCCCUCCAGGAACUUAGUUGACUUGGUAGUUGCUGUAUUCCCAGCAUGUGUUGAAAUAUCCCAGCCGAGUGCUUUGAGACAUGUCCUUAUAUUGCCUCGUGCAUUUCUACAGCUGCAGAUGUCUCCUACGUAGACGAAUUGCCCGCCGCACCCACGAUCCCCCAGUUGGUAGGCAAUCUUGUAGGUUGCUACUUCUCUGUUAGUCUCAAUUGUAUUUGGUAUGUCCGUGAUUAUAUUUGUAGGUAAUAAAAAACAGUGUUCUUG